This 433-nucleotide ribosomal RNA is filed under the name uncultured bacterium. RNAcentral describes it as "partial 16S ribosomal RNA". It matches the Rfam family "Bacterial small subunit ribosomal RNA", at positions 29 to 507 of the family's 1533-position model. The record is from RNAcentral.
AACGAACGCUGGCGGCAUGCCUAACACAUGCAAGUCGAACGAUGCUUUCGGGCAUAGUGGCGCACGGGUGCGUAACGCGUGGGAAUCUGCCCUUGGGUUCGGAAUAACAGUGAGAAAUUGCUGCUAAUACCGGAUGAUGUCUUCGGACCAAAGAUUUAUCGCCCAGGGAUGAGCCCGCGUAGGAUUAGCUAGUUGGUGGGGUAAUGGCCUACCGAGGCGACGAUCCUUAGCUGGUCUGAGAGGAUGAUCAGCCACACUGGGACUGAGACACGGCCCAGACUCCUGCGGGAGGCAGCAGUGGGGAAUAUUGGACAAUGGGCGCGAGCCUGAUCCAGCAAUGCCGCGUGGGUGAUGAAGGCCUUAGGGUUGUAAAGCUCUUUUACCCGAGAUGAUAAUGACAGUACCGGGAGAAUAAGCUCCGGCUAACUCCGUG